Non-coding RNA from Musa acuminata subsp. malaccensis (wild Malaysian banana), 2840 nucleotides. NCBI's taxonomy places the organism in Eukaryota, Viridiplantae, Streptophyta, Magnoliopsida, Zingiberales, Musaceae. The record is from RefSeq and is a predicted model, not a curated record.
AGAGAGAGAGGGGGCAAGCAAGAAAAAGUUGGCGAAUUAGAGUGAGAAGGAAGAACUGGCGACAGUAGAGGGGCUUUUCCGUGGUUCCUUUUGGAUUACAAGUGCACACUAGAGUUUAAGGUGGCACAGUCAUUUCUCCCAAGGAAACAAAGAGCAGAUCUUUCUCUCUUCUCCAACCAUUCCGCGAGCCCGCAGCACAGUGCACAGACAAGGAUCCAUCGGGUGAGCGCCACUGUUGGAAUUGACGUGGGAUAUUUGUUGGGUUCCGUAACGUGUUGCAGUUUCAUAGAUGAGAGGAGGAGGGAUGCUCUUUCCUGUCCGAGACAAGAGGGCUCCUCUGCAGGUGCUGUCGGAAGGAGAAGAAGGCCUCUUUUGGUGUGCUACUCCUCCUCCUCCUGCUUGUGUUGCUAAUAAGAGGAAGAAGGGAGCAGCGAGGGAGGAAGGAUUGCUGUCGGAGCCGCGGUCAGUCCUGGAAAACCGGUGGAGCCCCAGCCCGCCAAGCUCCGCUUCUUCCACCCUACCCUGUCUUCGUCCCUAGUGGGUGGCGGCGGCAACGGCGAGCCGGCCUCCUCUGACGGCUCCGCCACCGCCAUCCCGUCGGCGGCAGCGGCGCUGGAAGAGAUCUGCAGGGAGGAAGGGACGGCAGAGCUCCCGCCCACCCCCGCGGCCCUGGCUGCGGGAGGGGACUGCAACUUUGGAGGCGUUGAUGUUUGGGAGGCUUUGCUCUCGGAGUCGGCUGCCUCCCUUGGCCAAGACCAGAUUUUUCUCCGGUGGAACGUUGGCGAGGUUGACGAUACCCCUGCUGCCGGCAUUAAUGGCACCGGAUUCCCGCUCGGAGGCCUCUUCGAUCCGGCAUUUGCGCUGGAAGGCGCAUCGGUUCCGGCGGAGGCCAUAAAUCCUCCACUGGUUUCCUCUCUUAACUCUGCCGGUCGAUUUGAAUCCAAAGGUGCCGCCGUCGAUUGCGGGAAUACAAACCUCAAUCCAUGCCUCCCUCCUCCGCCGGGGUCCCUCUUCCAAGAAUCCAUGGAGGAGAGGCCCUUCCCUUUCAGCAUGAACAAGCUCUUAGCCCAGCAACAGCAGACCCAACCCCCAAACUGCCCUUCCUUCUUCCUGCCUUUGCACACUUCUGCCGGCAACCGUGAGGAUCACCAGCCACAGCACUUCUCCUCUCCUCUGCAGAAACGACCUGCCGUCGUCGACUCCUUCCAUGGCUCCCGUACCCCUGGUCUCUUCCUCCGCGGCGACCAGCCCCAGCAGCUGGGCUUCCCUCAGCACCUCAAUGCCUCCGCGUUCCAGCUUCAACCGACACCGGCAAAGCCCAAAUUAGCUGACGGAAAUGAGUCGGACGCUGCAGCGGCAACGAUGCACCAGCAGCAUCAAGCAUUGGUCGAUCAGCUUUUCAAGGCGGCGGAGUUGAUCGAAGCAGGGAACAUCGUCAGCGCCCGUGGGAUAUUGGCGCGGCUCAAUCACCAGCUCCCCUUUCCUGUAGGGAAGCCACUCCUGCGGUCCGUCUUCUACUUCAAGGAGGCCCUUCACCUCGUCGCCGCCAAAUCACACCGCUCACCUCCGCCUUCUUCAUCCGCUAUCUCCACACCAUUGGACGUCGUGCUCAAGCUCGGAACUUACAAGACCUUCUCCGACGUCUCACCCAUCGUCCAAUUCACAAGCUUCACAUGCAUCCAGGCCCUAUUGGAGGCGCUUGGUAGUGCAACUCGCAUCUACAUCAUCGAUUUUGACAUCGGGAUCGGUGUGCAGUGGUCAGCCUUCAUGCAGGAGCUUGCCCAGCGUUGGUCCACGGCAAUGGCUGCCGUUCCCUACCUCAAAAUCACAGCGUUUACGUCGCCCAGCUCCCACCACCCCCUCGAGCUCCAUCUCAUCCACCAAAACCUGUGCCAUUUUGCCAGCAGCCUAAGCAUCCCCUUCGAAUUCGAUGUUCUUAACCUCAACGACUUCGAGCCGUCAAAUUUCCUCAGAAUGUGUUCUGCUCUCGACGCUGCCGUUGCCGUCAACCUCCGUGUAGGGUCUGCAGCUUGCCCGCCCAUCUCGACUCUCCUACGCUUCGUGACGCAGCUCUGCCCCAAGAUUGUGGUCUCAGUGGAUCAUGGAUGUGAUCGCGUCGACCUACCCUUUGCCCAUCACGUCCUCCAUGCAUUCCAGUCAUGCACGGUGCUCCUGGAUUCGAUUGAUGCAGCAGGCACCAAUCAGGAUGUAGUGAGCAAGAUCGAGCGAUACUUAGUGCAGCCAAGGAUUGAAAAUGCUGUGUUGGGCCGCCGCUGGUCGUCAGACAAGACACUACCAUGGCGAACUCUCUACGCCUCAGCUGGAUUUGUGCCCAUGCGCUUUAGCAACUUCACGGAGACACAAGCAGAGUGUCUUCUAAAGAGGGUGUUGGCAAGGGGCUUCCAUGUGGAGAAGCGCCAAACAUCCCUUUCCCUCUGUUGGCAGCGCAGGGAACUCGUAUCAGUGUCGGCUUGGAAGUGCUAAAGGAGCUACUUGCCAAUGCUUGCGCUGCAUCCAUGCUCCAUGGUCUUUUGUUGGAUAGUUCCUUUGGACCAAGGCAUGGACAAACUGAAGGUCUGGUACAGUUCCAACUUUUAUAGCCAUCUUAUCUUUAUGGACAAUGAUGGAAAAUGUGAUGAUAGCAGGUAGCUCGGUGUUUCUUCUUCAGCUGUCGUCGUCCCUUCAUAUCCUGAAACUCUAUCACAGAAUGGAAUGUGAAUGUGUCAAGAAUUAUUCUUGAGCUGGAUGUGAAUGUGUGGUCCUGAUGGUGUAAAAAUUGCAAGUAUGUCUCCAAGUAAUUGAAUUUGUUGGUAGUUAAAGAAAUCUUCUGAAUCAAUCAA